Molecule: long non-coding RNA, 621 nt
Organism: Prosopis cineraria
Lineage: Eukaryota; Viridiplantae; Streptophyta; Magnoliopsida; Fabales; Fabaceae
Exons: 2
Source: RefSeq, a predicted model, not a curated record
UUUCACUGCUGCUGAUUAUUUCAGCCACCGUAUCCUUCGCAUCAGCACGAUUUCUCUUGUUUCCUGCCAAGUCUUUCCUUACCCAUACAUUUCUAACAGUCUUAGCUAGGUUUUUCAUAGAUGGAUCGUUGAAAGAAGCUAGAAAGCUCACCUUGCCAUCGUCUCUGUACUCUAGGUUGGCUAGCACAUCAAAUUAAGAUUUGUUAAUGAAGCUAGAUCCUCGAUUUGGGUGAUUUUGCUGAUUACCCAUUGGAUUCUUUGGUUUUCAUGCUUGGGCUGGUCUUCGAAACUUCAUCCACUCCCCACAAGUUUCGUCUGGCGAGAGGAUCCAUGAUAGCAUCUUGAGAUUUUGAAGCUGAGAAAACGAAAUCAGACUUGGAGUUCAUUGCAGAAAAUGAUUAUUUGACGAUGAAGAUUGAAGACGUUUCCAAUCUCACAAUUUAAGAAGCAUAUUUUGACACAUAGGAUGAGAUUGAGAAGGGGAAGAAGACGGGAUUCUUUUGCAAACUGAUGCAAUGGGUUUUGUUUCAUGUAGGCUGUAGUUAUACGGGGGAACGGAUUGCAUGUUUCUCUUUUUUUAAAAAAAUAUCUUAUUUAACUAAUAAAACAUUGGUUGAGUUA